UCCUCAUGUCCCAUGAAUUGGCAUUGCAGUUCAACCUUUUUGGCCGACAUGGGAAACACAAGUUCCGGGACCUGCGUCUCUUUGAUGUUGUCCAUGGAGCACUUAAAAGAAAUGGAUCCAUCCACGGAAUCACCCACAAAGAUACAGAAAAGGCACUAUCAAAGUGGUUUACUGGAGCCCGUGACAGAGGUGGAAAUCGAAAGGUUCGAGCGACUAAGGAGGCUGCCAGUUCACAUUCAGG
This is a long non-coding RNA of Fundulus heteroclitus (mummichog), 241 nucleotides long. RefSeq lists it as uncharacterized. NCBI's taxonomy places the organism in Eukaryota, Metazoa, Chordata, Actinopteri, Cyprinodontiformes, Fundulidae. The record is from RefSeq and is a predicted model, not a curated record. The transcript is spliced from 2 exons.